Molecule: non-coding RNA, 372 nt
Organism: Pelobates cultripes (western spadefoot toad)
Lineage: Eukaryota; Metazoa; Chordata; Amphibia; Anura; Pelobatidae
Source: the annotation of a GenBank genome assembly
GAGUGGGGGUGACUGGUGACAGAGUGAGGGAGUGGGUGACUUAGUGAGGGGGUGGGUGACUAGUGACAGAGGGAGGGAGAGGGGGUGACUAGUGACAGAGUGAGGGAAUGGGUGACUAGUGGCAGAGUGAGGGAGGGAAGAGAUGACUAGUGGCAAAGUGAGGGAGGGAAAUGGUGACUAGUGACAGAGUGAGGGGAUGACUGGUGUCACCCCAUCCCUCUCUCUGUCACUGUGUCACCCGCUCCCUCACUCUGUCACUAGUCACCCCCUUACUCUGUCACCCCCUCCCUCACUGUGUCACUAGUCACCCCAUCCCUCUCUCACUAGUCACCCCAUCCCUCUCUCUGUCACUAGUCACUCCCUCCCUAACUC